UUAACAAGAGUCAGGAAAUGUAAAAGACCUGCUUGGGCUGCACCAUGAAUCAAGAGGCUCGGAGGUCUGUGAGCAUCCCAGGAUUUGCUACGUGCCAGUGAGACGCUGAGGAUUAGAAAGUGGCUUUUCCACUCACAGCAGUCCAGGGAAGCUUUGCCGUUAUCACCCUGAACCAGAUGGAUUUUGAAGAGUCAAUGGAGAGCAAUUGAGGUGCUGCCGCAUCCUUGCCAGAAGUUAACGGGCCCUGACGCUGCUCAACUCAGUGCUGAGAGGCAUCAGGAGCUUCAGCUCUCAAUCCACAUAAAACAGCAGUUUCCAUUCUCCAGAAGGAAAUGGGAAGAUGUUCUGCUCGGGAUCCCAUCAGAGCGUGGCCCAGAGGAGCUGGUGCUGCUGCCAACCCUCAGCGGUGCCACAGCAGCCAGGCACCAAGAGACAGCGUGGCACUAUGAGCAUAUCCCAGCCCUCAGCCAUGCUGAGCAUGCAUGGAAAUAGCAGUGCUGCAUCUCCUGCUAACCCAGCGGGACAACAAGGGCUGCUUCACGGGGAGGUGACACAGAGGUGGCUGCAGAUGAGGCAGCUCGAGGAGAGAAGCCACCUGCCGAGGCCACCAGCUGUUCCUGUCCCAGAUCUGAGCCAAACUGUGGGUCCCAGACCCAAGAGAGCAAGGCACGGAGCUUGGAUCCAUGAACCUCUGGGAGCCAUUGGAUGGGGAACUCAACUUCAGUGCUCAGAAUGUGUGCUGGGAGGGACUGAGGAGCAGCUGUGGAGCUCUGUGUCUUACCAUCAUUAUGACUGGUAUCAUUAUUAUCAUUACUGUGAAUGCGUGAACCAGAAAGCCAAGCGUGCCUCCUGCAGCAGUGCACUGCGAAGUAACAAAGCCAUGAGUGGUCCUUCCAGAAAGGGUUUCCUGCUUUCUUGGCUAUUGGCCCAUCCCAAGAUUCGGGUUCAGCCAAAUCCUAAACUCUAAGGCAUUCCCCUUCUGUUUGACGGGGAACUGCCAACACGUCUCAUCAGUACUUAUCUGAAUCGAGGGGGAGACGUUCCAUUUUAUGACGAGAGGCAGACAGCCAAGUCCCAUUGAUCUUCAAUGAAAAUCCCUCAGUGAAAAAUCCCUCAUCCCCUGUCAAAACACGAAGAGAGGGGCUUUGCCUACACAGCUGGUUUUGUUCGAAGGCACGCAUCAUCAUUGGGUCUGAAUUCCUAUUGCUGUCCUAUUAUUAUCUCUGAUUAAGCAGGGUGAAGUGGAAAUUAGGCGAGUACUGCGUACUCACAGCUAUCUGCUUUAAUGAGCCCUGCUUAACCCAUUUAUUUUCUUCAAGAUAAAGCUUCCUGGGGGGGUAUUCACCGCCAGCCCCCACCACUGGACUGUCAUCUCCCCCUCCUGAAUAUUAGGCUCAGGCUCAUCCCCAGUGGGUCAGGGUAAUGACUUACUUUCAGUAUUUAAAGCCAGCCCAAUAAAACUCUAAAUGACUUUCUAAGGGUGCA
Molecule: long non-coding RNA, 1485 nt
Filed under: Numida meleagris (helmeted guineafowl)
Lineage: Eukaryota; Metazoa; Chordata; Aves; Galliformes; Numididae
Description: lncRNA (ENSNMEG00000006010.1)
Source: RNAcentral